Molecule: ribosomal RNA, 737 nt
Filed under: uncultured Bacilli bacterium
Lineage: Bacteria; Bacillati; Bacillota; Bacilli
Description: bacterial SSU rRNA
Rfam family: Bacterial small subunit ribosomal RNA
Source: RNAcentral
GACGAACGCUGGCGGCGUGCCUAAUACAUGCAAGUCGAACGCUUUUUCUUUCACCGGAGCUUGCUCCAUCGAAAGAAAAAGAGUGGCGAACGGGUGAGUAACACGUGGGUAACCUGCCCAUCAGAAGGGGAUAACACUUGGAAACAGGUGCUAAUACCGUAUAACACUAUUUUCCGCAUGGAAGAAAGUUGAAAGGCGCUUUUGCGUCACUGAUGGAUGGACCCGCGGUGCAUUAGCUAGUUGGUGAGGUAACGGCUCACCAAGGCAACGAUGCAUAGCCGACCUGAGAGGGUGAUCGGCCACACUGGGACUGAGACACGGCCCAGACUCCUACGGGAGGCAGCAGUAGGGAAUCUUCGGCAAUGGACGAAAGUCUGACCGAGCAACGCCGCGUGAGUGAAGAAGGUUUUCGGAUCGUAAAACUCUGUUGUUAGAGAAGAACAAGGAUGAGAGUAAAAUGUUCAUCCCUUGACGGUAUCUAACCAGAAAGCCACGGCUAACUACGUGCCAGCAGCCGCGGUAAUACGUAGGUGGCAAGCGUUGUCCGGAUUUAUUGGGCGUAAAGCGAGCGCAGGCGGUUUCUUAAGUCUGAUGUGAAAGCCCCCGGCUCAACCGGGGAGGGUCAUUGGAAACUGGGAGACUUGAGUGCAGAAGAGGAGAGUGGAAUUCCAUGUGUAGCGGUGAAAUGCGUAGAUAUAUGGAGGAACACCAGUGGCGAAGGCGGCUCUCUGGUCUGU